UACGGAGGAUGCGAGCGUUAUCCGGAUUUAUUGGGUUUAAAGGGUGCGUAGGCGGAUUAAUAAGUCAGUGGUGAAAACCUGCAGCUUAACUGUGGAACUGCCGUUGAUACUGUUAGUCUUGAGUAUGGUCAAGGUAGGCGGAAUGUGUAAUGUAGCGGUGAAAUGCUUAGAUAUUACACAGAACACCGAUUGCGAAGGCAGCUUACUGGGCCACAACUGACGCUGAUGCACGAAAGCGUGGGGAUCGAACAGG
RNAcentral lists this ribosomal RNA (253 nucleotides) under uncultured bacterium. RNAcentral's name for it is "partial 16S ribosomal RNA". It matches the Rfam family "Bacterial small subunit ribosomal RNA", at positions 524 to 776 of the family's 1533-position model. The record is from RNAcentral.